Molecule: long non-coding RNA, 648 nt
Organism: Drosophila obscura
Lineage: Eukaryota; Metazoa; Arthropoda; Insecta; Diptera; Drosophilidae
Exons: 2
Source: RefSeq, a predicted model, not a curated record
AUAUUUGCCGAAAUAUAUUUAAUAAUGUUUUUAUAAUACGAAUAUUGAAUUUAAAUAGUUUAAAAAACGCUCCUGCCGCUUUCACUGCUAAUCGUCCAGAAACGCCGAUGGAGCACCCUUCUUUUUCUUGGAUUUCGACUGUCCCGCCUUAGUUUUUGCUUCUGGCUUUUUUCCUGCCUUGACGGCUGCGUUCGGUGUGCAACGAACACGAGCAGAAGGUGUUUUGGUCUUCUUGCCCUUUCGUUGCUUGCUAUUCUUGCCCGGCAGCGGACCCUUUGCCUUCACACAACUUAGUGUCUGGCUGUGCGUGUAGCUGGGCCGCCAUCAAAGUCCAUAAUGCACUUUCGCUGUAAUUUUGUUUGUUUUGAUUGGUAUAUUUGCCGAAAUAUAUUUAAUAAUGUUUUUAUAAUACGAAUAUUGAAUUUAAAUAGUUUAAAAAACGCUCCUGCCGCUUUCACUGCUAAUCGUCCAGAAACGCCGAUGGGGAGCAUGUCAACUUUUUGCAUUUUUGGUUUCACACACUUCUUCACAGGAGCACCCUUCUUUUUCUUGGAUUUCGACUGUCCCGCCUUAGUUUUUGCUUCUGGCUUUUUUCCUGCCUUGACGGCUGCGUUCGGUGUGCAACGAACACGAGCAGAAGGUGUUUUG